UGGAGAUUGCAUCCCACGCAGGCAGCCCCCUUCCGUACAAGAGAGGCUGGCGGUUACCUUUCUUGGGGAGACGCGUCCGACUGCUUCAUUGUGGGGGCCUCAGGAGCGGAGGAUCGGGUCCCGCCCGAGGUGACGCGUAAACCCAGACUCUCAGCAACGCGGGUAGGAAGGACCCUUGAAGUUCCGCGGCGACCACGGAACUGUGCCUUCGAUCUCCACAGUCGGCUGAAACCAGCAGCCCAGGACAAGUGGACCAGCCAGCAAGACCCAGACCAUCCAAACCGGCUGAUCCUACGACAGGACCCAGAUGCCAGUGAAAGUGACCACAGCCCUGCUCUAGUCACCCCGGAAGCUGACCAGUCUACGCACGGCCGAAGCUUCGUCAAGGAAGUAAAUGUAGUUAGAAAUCUUAAGCCCAGUAAUUUUCCUUGUCAUCUUAAUUGUUUUACUAUUAACCUGUCGCUUUGCUCAACCCCCUCCUCUGGGCAAACAUCUCUUGUCCAUCCUAGGUACAAACAUGCUACUCUUCCCUUUGUUCUUGCUGCUCUCGCUAGAUCUAUGUCAGAAGGAGGGAUAUGCGGAGAGUUUAAUUUAACUAAUUGUUGCCUAAAAAUCGA
Molecule: long non-coding RNA, 617 nt
Filed under: Homo sapiens (human)
Lineage: Eukaryota; Metazoa; Chordata; Mammalia; Primates; Hominidae
Description: non-protein coding lnc-POLRMT-6:6
Source: RNAcentral